UUGCUCAUCUCCUCGUAGAUGUAGGUCGGUUGACCGAACCACAUUAAAUGCUUGUGUCUCUUUUGGUAUAUUUCUCGUUUGUCUUCUUACUCAUGAUCAUUCGAGGUUUGCUUUGCUAGAUUUCGCAUGACAGCUAAUUAUUUCGGUCCUAACAACAAGGUUCCUUACAAGGAAGAGUUCUACAAGGAGACAUGUGGCUAGGUUAAAAAAGUACUUCAUUAUUUUGCUUUGUCUAAACAGGACGGAUUUCAAUUGGUUAUUCCUUUUCUCUAUUUGAGAUUAAAAUUGUAGCAAUGAUUGAGAAGUGGGCUAUCAGGAUGCCUUUGAUGAUGAGGAGCACUCCUACCUCCUAAAUGUCCUAUAUCUUCAUUUUACAUCUGAUUUCUAACUGAUAUGGGAAGUUAUUUUGCUAAUAAAAACUAACAUUUACAUGCCUUGCAUAAUAUUCUGUAUAGGCAUAGAGCAAUUCAGUGAUGGUCUUAAACUAUAGUUGGAUACGUAGACUCAAAACCUCAUGUCGAACAUGUAUGGUUCACAAUUUCAGUAUCCAUAAUUACAAUUUGCUUUAUCGGCAAGUACUUUCUUGUUUUAAUAAGCUGACUUAGAGUUGUUGAGUGGAAUGUUUCUCUGUCAAAGAGCCUUGAUUUUUAAA
Molecule: long non-coding RNA, 652 nt
Organism: Solanum dulcamara
Lineage: Eukaryota; Viridiplantae; Streptophyta; Magnoliopsida; Solanales; Solanaceae
Exons: 2
Source: RefSeq, a predicted model, not a curated record